GACGAACGCUGGCGGCGUGCUUAACACAUGCUAGUCGAACGGAAAGGCCCCUUUGGGGGUACUCGAGUGGCGCACGGGUGAGUAACACGUGAGUAACCUGCCCUUGACUUCGGGAUAACUUCAGGAAACUGGGGCUAAUACCGGAUAGGAAUCCUUGCUGCAUGGUGGGGGUUGGAAAGCUUCGGCGGUUUUGGAUGGACUCGCGGCUUAUCAGCUUGUUGGUGGGGUAGUGGCUUACCAAGGCUUUGACGGGUAGCCGGCCUGAGAGGGCGACCGGCCACAUUGGGACUGAGAUACGGCCCAGACUCCUACGGGAGGCAGCAGUGGGGAAUAUUGCACAAUGGGCGGAAGCCUGAUGCAGCAACGCCGCGUGCGGGAUGACGGCCUUCGGGUUGUAAACCGCUUUCAGCAGGGGCGAAGCUUGUGGUGACGGUACCUGCAGAAGAAGCACCGGCUAACUACGUG
This 465-nucleotide ribosomal RNA is filed under the name uncultured bacterium. Its description in RNAcentral is "partial 16S ribosomal RNA". It matches the Rfam family "Bacterial small subunit ribosomal RNA", at positions 28 to 507 of the family's 1533-position model. The record is from RNAcentral.